Molecule: long non-coding RNA, 1436 nt
Filed under: Delphinapterus leucas (beluga whale)
Lineage: Eukaryota; Metazoa; Chordata; Mammalia; Artiodactyla; Monodontidae
Description: lncRNA (ENSDLEG00000021695.1)
Source: RNAcentral
CUGCAUAGAUUACUCCCUCACUCCUUUCAGGUCUUGCUUAGGUGUUACAUUUACCAGGGUCCUUUCUUCACUCAACUAAAUGAAAUUUCACCCCUAUUCAGUUACUCGUUAUCCUCCUUCCCCUUAUUUAUUUUUCUUCUAGCGUUCAUCAUUGUCUGAUUUGUAUGUUUGUUCAUUUUCUGCCUUCCACUAUUAGAGUAUAACCUCCUUCAAGGCAGGGCUUAUGUGUUUUGUUCACAGGGAGCGUCUGUCUUUUGACUUGAUACCUUUUAAAGGCCCAAGGUCUCACCUUCUGUCUUCCUGAUGAGUGAAUAUCAGAAAACAUCCCCAGGCAACUUUGGCUUCACCACUUUUUAAAAAUUCUGAAUUCCUUCUCUCACUUCAUUUUUCUUUUUUGGGGGGGAGAUGUUCCUCUGAGGAUUUCCCUUACUUUCUUGUGAGCUUAGCUACUCAUUUCAACCAAUUAUUUCUUUGUUUUAUUUUGCAUUUCAGAUGCCUUGGCUUAUAGUACCAUUGAAUCUAGAACUCUUCAAACCUACUAUUUUUCAUGCCAUGCAUAGCAAUCCAAUGGAAUGACUUGCCCAAGAUCUUACUGUAAGUGAAAUCACUGAGACCAGACCCUGGGAUCCUUCACCUGCACCGUGUGCUUCUAUAGCUGAACCCUCCAGGCCAACCACCUACAUAUCCUCUUCACCUUCACAAAUCUGCAUUUCUCUGGAGGAGGGAAAACAAGUGUGCCUUCUCCUUUCCAGGCAUGAAGGUGACAGGGAACUCAAGAGAGACCAGAGACACAAUAUUCUUUCUACUUCUGGUGAGCAUUCUGGGCAUUUUGUUUAAAGGGUCAAGAGAUUGACCUUUGACAUAGAAAACAAACCUAUGGUUACCAAAGGGGAAAGGGCGGGAGGAGGGAUAAAUUAGGAGUUUGGGAUGAACAUAUACACACUACUAUAUAUAAAAUAGAUAACCAACAAGGACCUACAGUAGAGCACAGGGAAUUAUACUCAAUAUCUUGUAAUAACCUAUAAAGGAAAAGAAUCUGAAAAAGAAUAUAUAUAUGUAUGUGUGUGUGUAAAACUGAGUCACUUUGCUGUACACCUGAAACUAACACGACAUUGUAAAUCCAAUAUUCUUAAAUUUUUUUAAAAAAGAGAGACUGACCUUUAAUCAAUAACAGUAAUAUAAAUGCCUAAUUUUAUUGAGUGUUUACUGUAUGUCAGACACUGUGCCAAGCACUUUCUGUGCAUUUUAUCCUCACAACAGCUCUGGGUAGGAGGCAUUCAUUGACUACCUCUUUCACGUGGGGAAACUGAGGUUGGACACACUGUAACUUGCUCAGGCAUGGAAUUUGAAACCGGGGAGUCUGGCCCCUGUUUCCAGCCUCUAUGCUAUAGCAGGGAAAGGAAUAGAAGAGGUACCGUCCCUGAGUUUUGCCACUU